CGCGGUGAGCGGCGGACGGGUUAGUAACGCGUGGGAACAUACCCUUUUCUACGGAAUAGCCUCGGGAAACUGAGAGUAAUACCGUAUAAGCCCUUCGGGGGAAAGAUUUAUCGGGAAAGGAUUGGCCCGCGUUAGAUUAGAUAGUUGGUGGGGUAAUGGCCUACCAAGUCUACGAUCUAUAGCUGGUUUUAGAGGAUGAUCAGCAACACUGGGACUGAGACACGGCCCAGACUCCUACGGGAGGCAGCAGUGGGGAAUCUUAGACAAUGGGCGCAAGCCUGAUCUAGCCAUGCCGCGUGUGUGAUGAAGGUCUUAGGAUCGUAAAGCACUUUCGCCAGGGAUGAUAAUGACAGUACCUGGUAAAGAAACCCCGGCUAACUCCGUGCCAGCAGCCGCGGUAAUACGGAGGGGGUUAGCGUUGUUCGGAAUUACUGGGCGUAAAGCGUACGUAGGCGGAUUG
RNAcentral lists this ribosomal RNA (460 nucleotides) under Sulfitobacter sp. Ar-96. RNAcentral describes it as "bacterial SSU rRNA". It matches the Rfam family "Bacterial small subunit ribosomal RNA", at positions 87 to 582 of the family's 1533-position model. The record is from RNAcentral. Lineage: Bacteria; Pseudomonadati; Pseudomonadota; Alphaproteobacteria; Rhodobacterales; Roseobacteraceae.